This 497-nucleotide ribosomal RNA is filed under the name uncultured bacterium. RNAcentral's name for it is "partial 16S ribosomal RNA". It matches the Rfam family "Bacterial small subunit ribosomal RNA", at positions 28 to 507 of the family's 1533-position model. The record is from RNAcentral.
GAUGAACGCUGGCGGCGUGCCUAAUACAUGCAAGUCGAGCGAACAGACGAGGAGCUUGCUCCUCUGACGUUAGCGGCGGACGGGUGAGUAACACGUGGAUAACCUACCUAUAAGACUGGGAUAACUUCGGGAAACCGGAGCUAAUACCGGAUAAUAUAUUGAACCGCAUGGUUCAAUAGUGAAAGACGGUUUUGCUGUCACUUAUAGAUGGAUCCGCGCCGCAUUAGCUAGUUGGUAAGGUAACGGCUUACCAAGGCAACGAUGCGUAGCCGACCUGAGAGGGGGAUCGGCAACACUGGAACUGAGACACGGUCCAGACUCCUACGGGAGGCAGCAGUAGGGAAUCUUCCGCAAUGGGCGAAAGCCUGACGGAGCAACGCCGCGUGAGUGAUGAAGGUCUUCGGAUCGUAAAACUCUGUUAUUAGGGAAGAACAAAUGUGUAAGUAACUAUGCACGUCUUGACGGUACCUAAUCAGAAAGCCACGGCUAACUACGUG